RNAcentral lists this ribosomal RNA (500 nucleotides) under uncultured bacterium. Its description in RNAcentral is "partial 16S ribosomal RNA". It matches the Rfam family "Bacterial small subunit ribosomal RNA", at positions 28 to 523 of the family's 1533-position model. The record is from RNAcentral.
GACGAACGCUGGCGGCGUGCUUAACACAUGCAAGUCGAACGGUAACGGGUCCUUCGGGAUGCCGACGAGUGGCGAACGGGUGAGUAAUAUAUCGGAACGUGCCCAGUAGUGGGGGAUAACUGCUCGAAAGAGCAGCUAAUACCGCAUACGACCUGAGGGUGAAAGCGGGGGACCGUACGGCCUCGCGCGAUUGGAGCGGCCGAUGUCAGAUUAGCUAGUUGGUGGGGUAAAGGCCUACCAAGGCAACGAUCUGUAGUUGGUCUGAGAGGACGACCAGCCACACUGGGACUGAGACACGGCCCAGACUCCUACGGGAGGCAGCAGUGGGGAAUUUUGGACAAUGGGCGCAAGCCUGAUCCAGCAAUGCCGCGUGCAGGAAGAAGGCCUUCGGGUUGUAAACUGCUUUUGCCAGGGAAGAAAUCUUCUGGGCUAAUACCCCGAGAGGAUGACGGUACCUGAAGAAUAAGCACCGGCUAACUACGUGCCAGCCGCCGCGGUAA